Marasmius oreades (fairy-ring Marasmius) is the source of this 99-nucleotide non-coding RNA. NCBI's taxonomy places the organism in Eukaryota, Fungi, Basidiomycota, Agaricomycetes, Agaricales, Marasmiaceae. The record is from the annotation of a RefSeq genome assembly.
GGCUAACUAGCUCAGAUGGUUAGAGCGUCGUACUAAUAUAGUAGACUGGGCAUCAAAUAUUAAUGCGAAGGUUGUUGGGUUCGAUUCCCACGUUGGCCA